Molecule: long non-coding RNA, 337 nt
Organism: Physeter macrocephalus (sperm whale)
Lineage: Eukaryota; Metazoa; Chordata; Mammalia; Artiodactyla; Physeteridae
Exons: 4
Source: RefSeq, a predicted model, not a curated record
UAUUUAUUAAGACCUACAGACUGUACUCUCUCACAGACCUGAAACGCUGAGAAAAGGACUGCUAAUUGUUACCUACUAUAUGGACAAGAAACUAAGAAAAGAGUUUGCCUGUCAAGGAAAGGGACAAGAUGAGGAUGCUGGCAUACGGAGAAGUUAAGUAACUUGUCCAAGAUCUCACAGCUAGGAAGUGGAGGAUUCAGGAUUCAAACCCAGGAUCAGAGCUGACCUUAUAACCUCCACACUCUAGAUGAAGGAUGCUGGCUUCAGUUCCUGAGACCACCUCCAGCCCUCCUGUCAGCAUGCUGGGCUUCUCAUGGACAUGACAAGAGUAGAGACC